AAUAAGAUUAAUGAUGCAAAGCUUAUCGAAUGUCCAAAAUACCACAUGUAGAGCUGUUUGUAAUGGUUUGAGCGUUGUAGAGAAAGCAUGUCAUACAUACAUAAUUAUGUCCAUCACAAGGAUGUCAUACAUACAUAAUUAUUCCUUGAAAUCUGAAUAUUGUGGAAUGAGUUGCAGCGUGGAAUCGUUGUUCGUAAGAACUGUUCAUCGUAAUCACAUAUGCGUAGUUAAGUAUCAUUAUAAUAAUU
RNAcentral lists this small RNA (248 nucleotides) under Arabidopsis thaliana (thale cress). RNAcentral's name for it is "ATSL148040". The record is from RNAcentral. Lineage: Eukaryota; Viridiplantae; Streptophyta; Magnoliopsida; Brassicales; Brassicaceae.